UAGGGCAGGUUCCAGGUGGUGCUGCAGGGACACUGGAACACCGCGGCGGAGAACACGCGCUCCCCGCCCGCCGUCAGGAGGGUCACCAGGCCGUAGCCCAGCGCGCUGUGAUGCUUGAGGUGCAGGUUUAGCACCGACUGAAACUUCUCCAUGGGCCUCCUACCGCCGGGGGCGCCGUGGACAGGCCUGGAAGCUUCUGCGUCUUACCCGCCCUGCUCCUCCAACGGUUUGGGGGAGCUGAGGUCUAGGGCUUUCUACCCUGUGGGGCAGCAGCUUCCGGACAGGGGAAAAGGGCUUCUCGGGCCUCCGUGAGCUUUCGCUUUAUUUCCAGUAGACCCACUGUGGCUGACACACCCUUGGGCCUCUCAGGAUCACUGGUGACUUCUCUCACGAUUGAAGAACUUGAUUGAGGAUAGGCCCCACUCCGUGGUUACCUCUGUUUACACCCAACUGACAAGAAACCAGGGGACUUUCCAUACCCUUCCUGAUUCAGUGCAGCUGCCCAAUGGAAAGAGUACCAAAUGUUACUUGGAAGAUGAUUAUUUUAACCCUGAGAACCUAGAUGUGGCCACUCUUUGCUGUCAUCACUGUUAUCAUCGUCGUCAUCAUGAUCUCACACCGACACAUCAGAAUGGCUCCCACAAAGAAGGGUGGCAAGAAGAAGAAGGGUCAUUCUGCCAUCACCGAGGUAGUGACCAGAGAAUACACCAUCCACAUUCACAAGUACAUCUAUGAGUGGGUUUCAAGAAGUGUACCCCUCGGGCACUCAAAGAGAUCCAGAACUUUAUCAUAAAGGAGAUGGGAACUUCAGAUGUACACAUUGACGCCAGGCUCAACAAAGCUGUUUGGGCCAAAGGAAUAAGAAUGUUCCAUACCAUAUAUUCCAUGUGCAGUUGUCCAGAAAACAUAAUGAGGAUGAAGAUUCACCAAACAAGAUCUGUACGUUGGUUACCUAUGUACCUGUCACCACUUUAAAAACUACAGUUCAUGUGGAUGAGAACGAAUCGCUUAUUGUCAAAUAAAGGUAUAAAACUGAAAAAAAAAAAGUCUAUU
RNAcentral lists this long non-coding RNA (1053 nucleotides) under Ursus maritimus (polar bear). RNAcentral's name for it is "lncRNA (ENSUMAG00000003811.1)". The record is from RNAcentral. Lineage: Eukaryota; Metazoa; Chordata; Mammalia; Carnivora; Ursidae.